CCUACGGGUGGCUGCAGUGGGGAAUAUUGCACAAUGGGGGAAACCCUGAUGCAGCAACGCCGCGUGAGCGAAGAAGGCCUUCGGGUCGUAAAGCUCUGUCCUAAGGGAAGAAGCAUGACGGUACCUUAGGAGAAAGCCCCGGCUAACUACGUGCCAGCAGCCGCGGUAAUACGUAGGGGGCGAGCGUUAUCCGGAAUCACUGGGCGUAAAGGGUGCGUAGGCGGCCGAUUAAGCCAGGGGUGAAAGGCUACGGCUCAACCGUAGUAAGCCCUUGGAACUGAUUGGCUUGAGUGCAGGGGAGGGGAGUGGAAUUCCUAGUGUAGCGGUGAAAAGCGUAGGUAUUAGGAGGAACGCCAGUGGCGAAGGCAAGUCUCUGGACUGGAACUGACGAUGAGGCACGAAAGCGUGGGGAGCAAACAGGUUUAGAUACCCGUGUAGUC
This 440-nucleotide ribosomal RNA is filed under the name uncultured bacterium. Its description in RNAcentral is "bacterial SSU rRNA". It matches the Rfam family "Bacterial small subunit ribosomal RNA", at positions 338 to 795 of the family's 1533-position model. The record is from RNAcentral.